GAGUGGCGGACGGGUGAGUAAUGUCUGGGAAACUGCCUGAUGGAGGGGGAUAACUACUGGAAACGGUAGCUAAUACCGCAUAACGUCGCAAGACCAAAGAGGGGGACCUUCGGGCCUCUUGCCAUCAGAUGUGCCCAGAUGGGAUUAGCUAGUAGGUGGGGUAACGGCUCACCUAGGCGACGAUCCCUAGCUGGUCUGAGAGGAUGACCAGCCACACUGGAACUGAGACACGGUCCAGACUCCUACGGGAGGCAGCAGUGGGGAAUAUUGCACAAUGGGCGCAAGCCUGAUGCAGCCAUGCCGCGUGUAUGAAGAAGGCCUUCGGGUUGUAAAGUACUUUCAGCGGGGAGGAAGGCGUUGUGGUUAAUAACCACAGCGAUUGACGUUACCCGCAGAAGAAGCACCGGCUAACUCCGUGCCAGCAGCCGCGGUAAUACGGAGGGUGCAAGCGUUAAUCGGAAUUACUGGGCGUAAAGCGCACGCAGGCGGUCUGUCAAGUCGGAUGUGAAAUCCCCGGGCUCAACCUGGGAACUGCAUUCGAAACUGGCAGGCUAGAGUCUUGUAGAGGGGGGUAGAAUUCCAGGUGUAGCGGUGAAAUGCGUAGAGAUCUGGAGGAAUACCGGUGGCGAAGGCGG
Molecule: ribosomal RNA, 635 nt
Filed under: Enterobacter cloacae
Lineage: Bacteria; Pseudomonadati; Pseudomonadota; Gammaproteobacteria; Enterobacterales; Enterobacteriaceae
Description: bacterial SSU rRNA
Rfam family: Bacterial small subunit ribosomal RNA
Source: RNAcentral